AUACGGAGGGUCCAAGCGUUGUUCGGAAUCAUUGGGCGUAAAGCGGGUGUAGGCGGCUUGACAAGUCGGAUGUGAAAUCCCAGGGCCCAACCCUGGAACUGCAUUCGAAACUGUCUCGCUAGAGUCGCGGAGAGGAUGGCGGAAUUCCCGGUGUAGGGGUGAAAUCCGUAGAUAUCGGGAGGAACACCAGUGGCGAAGGCGGCCACCUGGACGAGUAUUGACGCUGAGACGCGAAAGCAUGGGGAGCAAACAGGAUUAGAAACCCCAGUAGUCC
RNAcentral lists this ribosomal RNA (274 nucleotides) under uncultured bacterium. Its description in RNAcentral is "partial 16S ribosomal RNA". It matches the Rfam family "Bacterial small subunit ribosomal RNA", at positions 523 to 796 of the family's 1533-position model. The record is from RNAcentral.